UGGGGAAUAUUGGACAAUGGACCAAGAGUCUGAUCCAGCAAUUCUGUGUGCACGAUGAAGUUUUUCGGAAUGUAAAGUGCUUUCAGUUGGGAAGAAAAAAAUGACGGUACCAACAGAAGAAGUGACGGCUAAAUACGUGCCAGCAGCCGCGGUAAUACGUAUGUCACGAGCGUUAUCCGGAUUUAUUGGGCGUAAAGCGCGUCUAGGUGGUUAUGUAAGUCUGAUGUGAAAAUGCAGGGCUCAACUCUGGAUUGCGUUGGAAACUGUAUAACUAGAGUACUGGAGAGGUAAGCGGAACUACAAGUGUAGAGGUGAAAUUCGUAGAUAUUUGUAGGAAUGCCGAUGGGGAAGCCAGCUUACUGGACAGAUACUGACGCUGAAGCGCGAAAGCGUGGGUAGCAAACAGGAUUAGAUACCCUGGUAGUCCACGCCGUAAACGAUGAUUACUAGGUGUUGGGGGUCGAACCUCAGCGCCCAAGCAAACGCGAUAAGUAAUCCGCCUGGGGAGUGCGUACGCAAGUAUG
Molecule: ribosomal RNA, 524 nt
Filed under: uncultured bacterium
Lineage: Bacteria
Description: bacterial SSU rRNA
Rfam family: Bacterial small subunit ribosomal RNA
Source: RNAcentral